This is a long non-coding RNA of Magnolia sinica, 293 nucleotides long. RefSeq lists it as uncharacterized. The record is from RefSeq and is a predicted model, not a curated record. The transcript has 2 exons. Lineage: Eukaryota; Viridiplantae; Streptophyta; Magnoliopsida; Magnoliales; Magnoliaceae.
UGCUGAGACCUUUUUGUUUAUUGGAUCAGUACUCCUCUUGUGGCAGUGAUAUGUGAAUGGGCGUAGUUGAUUUUUUGGUGAAUAUUGUAAAUUGUUGUCUGUAAAGUCGAUUAAGCAACACAAUUGUUUUUGGGCUAUGUCAGGAAAUGAUACAAUGACCUGCUAUUGCCAUGUGCUUCAGUUAUGCCACAUGACAAUUUAGGUGGACAAUUUUUUGAGGUUGAGCCCAUAUUUUAAAUCAUCAUUUUCAUCUCUAUUAGUGGGCCACACACGUGCAGAGCUCUCUUACAUAG